Molecule: long non-coding RNA, 581 nt
Organism: Pimephales promelas (fathead minnow)
Lineage: Eukaryota; Metazoa; Chordata; Actinopteri; Cypriniformes; Leuciscidae
Source: RefSeq, a predicted model, not a curated record
CGUAUCCGAUGAGAUGAAGUCAAGUUUCGCGCCGGAAGAUAACGGCUGCGAGUAAAAAUUGCGAUUUCAGCAUUGGAGAUCCUCUAAGUCCUACUUAUCACCAAUCAAUUACCUCAAAUGAAAAGUUACCUCGCCAUUAUUGCUCAAAAAGACUGGAAGGAGUCCUGUUGAGGAUUUAGAUUCCUCCUCUUUUGAAAAGUGCAACCGAUUGAAGUUAUAAAGGGCUCUGGGGUGUUUUGCCAGGCAGAAGUGUGGAAAGCAGCCCUCCUUGCCACCUCUGCUACUGCCAUGUGGAAUCUGCUGCUGGGCACAUUUGAUCUGGAGACUUUGCUGAAAAACAACCUGAAUGGUGGGAAGCCAACCAGAGGGGAUGGGGAGCAGCUGGUCGCCCUUGACCAAAUUAAAAAGGCAUCAUUAUUGAUGCUACAUUGAAGAAGUGUCCGUCAGCCAGCCGAGGGGAGGUGGGCACGUCUAUCAAUUCAAAGCUCAUGGAGCUGAGAAGAUCAAAAAGAUUUUUUUUCUAUCCAGUUUUUUUGUCUUAUUUUUGUUUUUGUACUAUUUGAUCUUAAGUAAAUAAAUAA